Molecule: ribosomal RNA, 253 nt
Filed under: uncultured bacterium
Lineage: Bacteria
Description: partial 16S ribosomal RNA
Rfam family: Bacterial small subunit ribosomal RNA
Source: RNAcentral
UACGGGGGGGGCAAGCGUUGUUCGGAAUUACUGGGCGUAAAGGGCUCGUAGGCGGCCAACUAAGUCAUACGUGAAAUCCCUCGGCUUAACCGGGGAACUGCGUCUGAUACUGGAUGGCUUGAGUUCGGGAGAGGGAUGCGGAAUUCCAGGUGUAGCGGUGAAAUGCGUAGAUAUCGGAAGGAACACCAGUGGCGAAGGCGACUUUCUGGACAGAUACUGACACUGAGGCACGAAAGCGUGGGGAGCAAACAGG